UCAAACAAUGCAUAUGAGAUUGAUUUAGAACUAACUUAAUAGAUAUUUAUGUUCCAUUACAUGGUACUUGGUAGCUUAAAAGAAGAUAUUCAGAUCACUUGAUAAUGUCAUACAUUGGCUUUAUAAAAGUAAGCUAUAUUAGCAAAGGCCAGAGAUGCAUUGUCUUUCUCGCAGCAAGGACCAAGACGCGAGAAGGUGGUGGUAUUAGGUAGAGUCAUCGCUACUUGUCCGAGCAGUAUCGAACAUAAUUUCGUCGUCUAAGCAGGCAUGCUUAUGGUCAGUGGCGGCGCCAGGAUUCAGCCACACCCCCGGCCGGCCUAGGAAGCCUUCCAGCACUGCAGUGCUCUCUACAGUAUACAAAGGGAAUCAGCCUUAUACCCCAGGCAUCCACUCGGGCUGCCUGGGGCCUGUCUCCGCCGCAGCCUACAAUCGCACAUAGUGGUUUAAGCCAUCAUCCAUGUCUCCAACAUAACCCUCAAUGCAGCUUGAAUCUGAGUCUGGAUCAUAUGCCUUUCUUCUGCAAUGAGACAUGCCACGCUAGUCACGCUUUGAAGCGCAACCACAACAUCAUGAAUUUCCAGAAGAGUCUAUUUGAUAUCACAGAUAGUGAUUAAAGCAGUAGGGUCCAAUGUAGCUCGAUUAUGGAUUUUGUUUGAUGUAACACGCACUUCGUCUGAUAGUGUGACGCUUCCCUAGUCAUCCGUUUAAUCUCAACAGGACAACAUCACAUUUUAUCUGCUAACCAAAGUACAACAGGUAAAACAAAGUACAACAGGCAAAGCUUGAAUCUAACUAUCAUAAAAAAAUACACAAACCUAUCUAGCAUAAAUAAUUUGGCUCGGUGUAUCCAUGUUAACAACUGAUUAAUGGAAUAUAUUGGGUUGGGGUACCAAGGCUAAUUAGUUACAUGAUUCCUAAUCAGGAAGCCUACUCAAUAAUGUCAAUCUACAAAGCAUUCACAAUACGAAAAAGCGAAUAAAAUGCAGCUUCCAUAGGAAAAUGCGCAGAAUAAUUAGCAUCAAUCAAGGGAAGCCAAACCAAGCAGAGAACAUCACAAACAGAACAGAGCCAUAUAAGUAAGUGUGAAUGGAGGAAGUAAAAGCAAAGAGAGAGGAACACCUCGGCUAGAUUCGAGGAAGUCAUGUUCCACUCCUAGGCUCCUAGCGCACCUGUAGCCAAUCCCUCGUCCGUGAGAUGAAGCAACAUAGAUUGGGUUUAGAAAGCAAUAGAAUCACACUAACAUAUAGUAUAGGAAGAUGUGUUACCUUCCUAACAAAAAUAUCGAUGCUUGUCGAUUUAGUUCCUAAUCACCAUUGAUGUAGUUUGUCCUGGCUACUGCGGCGUGCACUGCCAUUUAGAAGAAAUAUAAACUAUUCAUGUGUAGAAAGAUCAUUGCUGCAACAUGGAACAACAUGUUCUAUAAGAGAGGCUUAGUUCAGCAAAAUCAACACGAUUACAUGACAAACUAUCAAACAUUGCACUAUAUAUCAAGAAUAUACAAGCAAGGCAAAAUCAAUCUAGCAAAUUCAACAAGGGUUGACUGAUGAUGUCUAAGUCCUUUUGGUUCACUACAAUCUUUCUGAACUCAUUCGUUUUUGAGAAAUUGGUUCCGAACCUGCAUCGAGGGGUGGAAGGAACGAGGAGGAGGGGGUCUCUUUUUUACCGCUCCUGGUCUAGGGUUUUCACUCCGAGCGUUUUGGUCGCGGACUGGGCUGACCAACCCUUCGCUGCCUCGUGGGCCAAGGAUCAUAUGGGUCGAGUAACAGGCACUUGAUAAAAAAACAUUGUGGUAACUAAACUUUACAUCAAACAGUAAAAUCCAACGGUGAAAAAUCAUCCAACCUCUAAUCAGAUGGCCAAUAUGUGUGCGCACGGGAGAGGCCCCAGAAUGGCGGGUAGCCUAG
Molecule: long non-coding RNA, 1904 nt
Filed under: Triticum aestivum (bread wheat)
Lineage: Eukaryota; Viridiplantae; Streptophyta; Magnoliopsida; Poales; Poaceae
Description: long non-coding RNA (TAES_LNC004808)
Source: RNAcentral